CGACUGUAGAAUCAAUCCCAGCUGCGGAAGCAUUUCUUUGAUCUUGCACUGCAGCUGUGUCAAUAAUGAAGACAAAUAGAGAGCGUCAAUGCCUCAGUUCAAGACCAGAUGCAAAAAAUAUUAACCAUAAAGGUACAAAGGCCCUUUCCCCACUUCUUAUCUUUUUCUAUUUACACUUUAUUUUGCUUGAUAGUGAGAUAUUCUACCUAAAUUACCGCAUAUCUAAAGUUACUAAAUAAUAAAUGAUAUGAAGGAAAAGUAAGGGAUAUAACACCAGUACUCAAAAGUGAAAUAAACCUUUCACACUAAAAUACCGCUUGAUUAAUAUUUUCAUUAUCAUUCAGUGAAUGUUGGAGUCUAUAUACAUUUUAAACUUUACAGCCAUUGGAAAUGGAACUCCCAUUUCAACAUGUAAUUUGCUUGGCAGGAACUAUAGUUUGCAGCACGAUUGUUUUGAGAAUACAUACCUUGAAUCCCCUCAUUGGUUGUGAUGAGAUCAAGUUCAAGGAGGUCUAGAAGACGUCCAAGAUCAACUCCGCUAGUCCAAUUUUCUGGGGGUUGGCCAACUUUGAGUUUCAACCGAC
RNAcentral lists this long non-coding RNA (584 nucleotides) under Gossypium barbadense (sea-island cotton). RNAcentral describes it as "long non-coding RNA (GBAR_LNC003784)". The record is from RNAcentral. Lineage: Eukaryota; Viridiplantae; Streptophyta; Magnoliopsida; Malvales; Malvaceae.